Molecule: ribosomal RNA, 463 nt
Filed under: uncultured Pseudomonas sp.
Lineage: Bacteria; Pseudomonadati; Pseudomonadota; Gammaproteobacteria; Pseudomonadales; Pseudomonadaceae
Description: bacterial SSU rRNA
Rfam family: Bacterial small subunit ribosomal RNA
Source: RNAcentral
CCCGCACAAGCGGUGGAGCAUGUGGUUUAAUUCGAAGCAACGCGAAGAACCUUACCAGGCCUUGACAUGCAGAGAACUUUCCAGAGAUGGAUUGGUGCCUUCGGGAACUCUGACACAGGUGCUGCAUGGCUGUCGUCAGCUCGUGUCGUGAGGUGUCGGGUUAAGUCCCAUAACGAGCGCAACCCCUAUCAUUAGUUGCCAUCAGGUCAAGCUGGGGACUCUAAUGAAACUGCCUACGCAAGUAGUGAGGAAGGUGGGGAUGACGUCAAAUCAGCACGGCCCUUACGUCCAGGGCUACACACGUGCUACAAUGGUCGGUACAAAGGGUUGCCAAGCCGCGAGGUGGAGCUAAUCCCAUAAAACCGAUCGUAGUCCGGAUCGCAGUCUGCAACUCGACUGCGUGAAGUCGGAAUCGCUAGUAAUCGUGAAUCAGAAUGUCACGGUGAAUACGUUCCCGGGCCUU